Molecule: ribosomal RNA, 889 nt
Filed under: uncultured Bacillus sp.
Lineage: Bacteria; Bacillati; Bacillota; Bacilli; Caryophanales; Bacillaceae
Description: bacterial SSU rRNA
Rfam family: Bacterial small subunit ribosomal RNA
Source: RNAcentral
UGCAAGUCGAGCGGACCGACGGGAGCUUGCUCCCUUAGGUCAGCGGCGGACGGGUGAGUAACACGUGGGUAACCUGCCUGUAAGACUGGGAUAACUCCGGGAAACCGGGGCUAAUACCGGAUGCUUGAUUGAACCGCAUGGUUCAAUCAUAAAAGGUGGCUUUUAGCUACCACUUACAGAUGGACCCGCGGCGCAUUAGCUAGUUGGUGAGGUAACGGCUCACCAAGGCGACGAUGCGUAGCCGACCUGAGAGGGUGAUCGGCCACACUGGGACUGAGACACGGCCCAGACUCCUACGGGAGGCAGCAGUAGGGAAUCUUCCGCAAUGGACGAAAGUCUGACGGAGCAACGCCGCGUGAGUGAUGAAGGUUUUCGGAUCGUAAAACUCUGUUGUUAGGGAAGAACAAGUACCGUUCGAAUAGGGCGGCACCUUGACGGUACCUAACCAGAAAGCCACGGCUAACUACGUGCCAGCAGCCGCGGUAAUACGUAGGUGGCAAGCGUUGUCCGGAAUUAUUGGGCGUAAAGCGCGCGCAGGCGGUUUCUUAAGUCUGAUGUGAAAGCCCCCGGCUCAACCGGGGAGGGUCAUUGGAAACUGGGGAACUUGAGUGCAGAAGAGGAGAGUGGAAUUCCACGUGUAGCGGUGAAAUGCGUAGAGAUGUGGAGGAACACCAGUGGCGAAGGCGACUCUCUGGUCUGUAACUGACGCUGAGGCGCGAAAGCGUGGGGAGCGAACAGGAUUAGAUACCCUGGUAGUCCACGCCGUAAACGAUGAGUGCUAAGUGUUAGAGGGUUUCCGCCCUUUAGUGCUGCAGGCAAACGCAUUAAGCACUCCGCCUGGGGGAGUACGGUCGCAAGACUGAAACUCAAAGGAAUUGACGGGGGCCGC